ACAGCAGUAGCCGCGGGAAUACAGAGGGUGCGAGCGUUAAUCGGAUUUACUGGGCGUAAAGCGUGCGUAGGCGGCUUCUUAAGUCGGAUGUGAAAUCCCUGAGCUUAACUUAGGAAUUGCAUUCGAUACUGGGAAGCUAGAGUAUGGGAGAGGAUGGUAGAAUUCCAGGUGUAGCGGUGAAAUGCGUAGAGAUCUGGAGGAAUACCGAUGGCGAAGGCAGCCAUCUGGCCUAACACUGACGCUGAGGUACGAAAGCAUGGGGAGCAAACAGGAUUAGAUACCCGUGUAGUCCCUGUCUCUUAUAC
RNAcentral lists this ribosomal RNA (305 nucleotides) under uncultured bacterium. RNAcentral describes it as "partial 16S ribosomal RNA". It matches the Rfam family "Bacterial small subunit ribosomal RNA", at positions 508 to 807 of the family's 1533-position model. The record is from RNAcentral.